AGCCUAUUAGCUCAAUUGGACGAGCAUUGUGUAUUUAUAUUGCACAAAGGAUGUAGGUUCGAAUCCUACAUAGGCUA
Molecule: transfer RNA, 77 nt
Filed under: Spinacia oleracea (spinach)
Lineage: Eukaryota; Viridiplantae; Streptophyta; Magnoliopsida; Caryophyllales; Amaranthaceae
Rfam family: tRNA
About the family: Transfer RNA (tRNA) molecules are approximately 80 nucleotides in length. Their secondary structure includes four short double-helical elements and three loops (D, anti-codon, and T loops).
Source: Rfam by way of RNAcentral